CCACUCACCUUCAGAUCCGCCAUGCUGACGGCCCGGGCCCUGCCCCCACCCCAGCUCUGCGCUCAGCCAGCCUGACUCUCUCCGAGCUAGCUGCGGCGUCCUCCUACCUCCAGGCCUUCAGGCGGGCCAGUCAUCCCAUCUAGAACAACUAGACCUUCCGUCCUCACGCAGGCCGGUUCCCUGAUCUGGAGCAGUGCCCUCAUCCUUUAUCUGGAUAACUCUCACCAACCUCCAGGUGCUGGGCAGGCCCAGGGAGACGCGGGGACCGGAGAGUGAGCCACUGCCUGUUGGCCCCUCUUGCCUAUGGAGCUGGGCGGCUCUCUCCUAGCUGAGGGGAGGACGAGAGUGCCAAAAAACAGAGAGCCAAGGAGGCAGACCCCAAACUCCAGGAAGCAGAUUCCAUAUCUGAGGCCUCAGUUCCCUUCGUUUUGAGAUGGGAAGAUUCCAACUAGAAGAGGACGCCAGAGAGGAAGGAGAGUUCAGUGGGACUGAGGCUGGGCUCCCGGGAGCCAAGGCCACGGCAGGCACUGGGCGGCAGUAAUGGCUGGGGCAGGUCAGGGUGUGAUGGGGGACACUGAGUUGGGAAGACGAGGAGGUUUCAGGGACUGCUCUGUCCCUUCAUCAGCUCUGCCUUCUGAGAGUCAUUUAACACUGGACACCUCAAGCCUCGUGAUAACAGCCACCAGUGCACCAGAUUUUAGAGCCUUCGGUCAGCCAUUCACAGCAAUCCCCUAGGAAGGGACUCCUCAGCACUUUGUGGACGGAGAGGCGGGGCUUGGCGAGGCGUCAAGGCAGCUGGGCUGCCAGUCUCCGAGUCACACUGGAGCCUCUGCCCCAACUCCUGUCCACGCCACCACAGAGCUCAGUGCUUUCAGGGGAGCCCGCUCCGCCAUCUGCUCCACACCCUCGGAACGCUCUGACCUCACUCAGAACAAAACGUGCGCCCCUCCCAGCCCCUCCACCCACCUCCUCUUCCCGCACUGCCCUCCUUCACUGGCUCAGGGGCCUUUCCCAUCACUGUCCCUGGGACUUUUGUCUGUUCUGUGCACUUCUGAAUGUCUUGCCCUUCAGACAGUGUCCACUGUAGACGCUCAAGUAAGCAUUGUGGAUGGAAGGAAGGCAAGCAGGGAGAGAGGAGGGAAGGAAGGGAGGGAGGAAGGGAGCCCAGGCCCCUUAUUUCCACUACCACCCCCCUCCACACCAUGCAGCCAGCCUUGACCCCGCCCCCUUUUGCAGCACCGUUGCUGAUGUAUUUCUGAUUCUCACAUGCACUUGGUCACUCACAUGCAUAUCAGCCUGAAAGACUGAGAGCCCCAAAGUUAUCUGUUUCUCUCAUAAACUGACAAAUGGAUUUUAGAUUCUGUUAAGUUCCGCAGGACUUUGUUCCACUUGUAAUAAAAAAGAAAGGAAGAAAGGAAAAG
RNAcentral lists this long non-coding RNA (1421 nucleotides) under Equus caballus (horse). RNAcentral describes it as "lncRNA (ENSECAG00000049434.1)". The record is from RNAcentral. Lineage: Eukaryota; Metazoa; Chordata; Mammalia; Perissodactyla; Equidae.